Molecule: long non-coding RNA, 1224 nt
Organism: Cyprinus carpio carpio
Lineage: Eukaryota; Metazoa; Chordata; Actinopteri; Cypriniformes; Cyprinidae
Source: Ensembl
CUUGGGGAAUAGGGAAAGGGCAAUUAAAACUAAACUCUGACUCGGCCCUCCAGAUGGGCUAUGGCCGGGAAGAGGUCAGGGAGCAAGGGGGCCACGGGGAUCCGGGGCGUGGGACUCGGGCCCCGGCCUGAGUCUUAGGUAUCCGUAGCGCCCUCCUUCUUCCUCCUCUUCGCUGAAUACAGCUCACGGUAAGUACUGGUUCACACAGUUCGUUCUCGAGGUGCUCACUCUCUUUCUCUUUCUCCACAGGCAACGGCUGGGACACACAGGCACAGUUAGUUCAGCUUGGUUUUGCUCUCACCUCUUCGCUGAUUACAGCUCACAGUAAGUACUGGUUUCCUCUGUUUCUCCUUGUGUUACUCACUCUCUCUUUCCUUUUCUCUCCACAGAUAUCAACUUGGGCACAAUAGCACAGUUAGUUUGCUUUGAAUGGCUCUCACCUCUGGGCUGAACACAGCGUACUGUAAGUACAGGUUCCCUCUGGUUCUCCUUGUGUUACUCACUCUCUCUUUCCUUUCCUCUCCACAGGUAUCAACUUGGACACAAAGCACAGUUACUCUGCUUUGGAUGGCUUUCACCUCUGGGCUGGACACAGCGUACCGUGCUAUCUCCGGAGAUCUGAAGCACGCCCACAACAUAUACUGUACUGAACUAGGCUAGGACCAGCAGUCUCCUUGUCCUCCCGCGACGAAGUGCGUGAAGGCGGGGGUUUAUCUGACAGGACACACGGCAAUACACAGCAGCCCACAGCAAUAUACAACACCACGUCAAAAUUAUAGGUUUUCACAGCACGAAGACUCACCCACCACACUCAGUGUACGAAAAGGACACCCGUCUUCCUUCACUUCGCUUGGUUCGGAUCUGGCGAUGGAAUAUGCGGCCUAGCUAGUGAUGUCGUCGUUGUGACUACUUCAAUAAGUAUUCCUUCGGCUCUCCCACCACGCUAUAUUAGGGGGUAGGGCCGCCCUCCUCCUCCUGGAGAGAUCUACACAACGCCAGGUCAAUAUACAGGGCACUUUCGACUGGUUCUUAGUACUCACAUCAAUGCCGCUUCCAAUCCCCUUUUUCACGUCGUCUCAGUUCGCCGUAUAAUCCGUUCACUUCUCAACCUUUAAGGUUCGCGAUGUCUUCACAAUCAUACAAUUCCAGCCUGAGGGGGAGAGAGAGUUAGACAGCCACCAGCAGCGCACCAAGACGGGCACAACACAGUGCUUCACACACACC